This 269-nucleotide ribosomal RNA is filed under the name uncultured prokaryote. Its description in RNAcentral is "partial 16S ribosomal RNA". It matches the Rfam family "Bacterial small subunit ribosomal RNA", at positions 524 to 792 of the family's 1533-position model. The record is from RNAcentral.
UACGGAGGAUGCAAGCGUUAUCCGGAUUUAUUGGGUUUAAAGGGUGCGUAGGCGGCCAUUUAAGUCAGCGGUGAAAUUUUGCAGCUUAACUGUAACAGUGCCGUUGAUACUGUUUGGCUAGGAUUUGGUUGUAGUGUGCGGAAUGUGUGGUGUAGCGGUGAAAUGCUUAGAUAUCACGAGGAACUCCGAUUGCGCAGGCAGCUUACUAAACUACUACUGACGCUCAGGCACGAAGGCGUGGGGAUCAAACAGGAUUAGAUACCCGGGUA